UACGAGGGGGGCAAAUGUUGUUCGGAAUCACUGGGCGUAAAGGGAGCGUAGGCGGGCUUCUAAGUUAGGUGUUUAAUCCCGGGGCCCAACCCCGGUCGUGCACUUAAAACUGGAAGUCUUGAAUAGUGGAGAGGUCAGUGGAAUUGGGGGUGUAGCGGUGGAAUGCGUAGAGAGUCCCCAAGAACACCAGUGCGAAGGCGGCUGACUGGACACAGUAUUGACGCUGAGGCUCGAAAGCAUGGGGAGCAAACAGGG
RNAcentral lists this ribosomal RNA (255 nucleotides) under uncultured bacterium. RNAcentral's name for it is "partial 16S ribosomal RNA". It matches the Rfam family "Bacterial small subunit ribosomal RNA", at positions 524 to 777 of the family's 1533-position model. The record is from RNAcentral.